This 449-nucleotide ribosomal RNA is filed under the name uncultured bacterium. Its description in RNAcentral is "partial 16S ribosomal RNA". It matches the Rfam family "Bacterial small subunit ribosomal RNA", at positions 29 to 523 of the family's 1533-position model. The record is from RNAcentral.
AACGAACGCUGGCGGCAUGCCUAACACAUGCAAGUCGAACGAGAUCUUCGGGUCUAGUGGCGCACGGGUGCGUAACGCGUGGGAAUCUGCCCUUUGGUUCGGAAUAACAGAUGGAAACGACUGCUAAUACCGGAUGAUGACGAAAGUCCAAAGAUUUAUCGCCAGAGGAUGAGCCCGCGUAGGAUUAGCUAGUUGGUGUGGUAAAGGCGCACCAAGGCGACGAUCCUUAGCUGGUCUGAGAGGAUGAUCAGCCACACUGGGACUGAGACACGGCCCAGACUCCUACGGGAGGCAGCAGUGGGGAAUAUUGGACAAUGGGCGAAAGCCUGAUCCAGCAAUGCCGCGUGAGCGAUGAAGGCCUUAGGGUUGUAAAGCUCUUUUACCCGGGAUGAUAAUGACAGUACCGGGAGAAUAAGCUCCGGCUAACUCCGUGCCAGCCGCCGCAGUAA